ACUGGGUGGAGAAAUGGGACUUUCCUGGGAGGCUACAAAAGUGGGGAGGGGGAGGCAUUUUGAGGGGAGAAUGAAGAUUAACGUGCCUGGACUGGGUUAGGAAACUGCAGUAAGAAAUAGAAUUUACCUAAAUUAUCCUAUGGUCUAAAGGGACCUCUUGCUUUCCAUCUAGUUAUUGGGAGCCUGCUUAACUUUUCAGUGAGUGUCACCUCAGGACAGUGUGUCUGGUUUAUAUAAAACUUACUCAAUAUGUCUCCAAGGUAUUCUAAGGUCACUCCCCUUCUCCCCCUCCCCCCUCCGUAAUGCUGCAAAAUCCCUGCUGCUGCACUGGAUUAGUCUGAAGAGAUGAAACUCCUAGGCAGCAACAGCAGGACUAGUAAAAUAACACACAUCAUAAUCCUAUAGCUUGAUAGAUUUUUUUUUAAACCUCCCUGGUUUUGCUGGUGCCAAGGUGUGCUGCAAAGAGGAGGAUUUGCUUGCCAUUACAAUUCGUAAUGUUUGAUCAAGGUAUUAAAACACAGUUGAUGCUGAUGCAGUUCCUCAGUGUCAGAAGCUAAGGUGAGAGGCCAGUUGCUUCUGAGGACAUUGUCUGCUGCUAUCAAGAUAUUCAGAGAACUGUUCAUGAGGGGCAUCUCAUGAUUCAUUGUCCCACAUGCUUCAGGUGAAGAAGUCAUGCUAAAUCAGAAAUGAUGGAGAGACUGGACCUCAUUUAUAGUCAAGAUGGCUGAAUUAAUACUAUUGAAAUUGUGUGGAGGAAUGCAAUAUGAACAGACAGGUUUAUGAUAGGAACUUAGGUAAUUUUCUUUUAUACUUUAUUUUCUUCAACUAUUAAAUUCAACACAGUAUUAUCUCUGGAAUUCAUAUUCAGAGCAAGGCACAAGCAAGAUAAAUACCUUCUUUGGACCCUGUGGGUUUGGGGCUUGCAUUUGCUACAGUUUUCAGGCCAGCCCAAUCUAUUCUACUGAUAGCAUGACCAGUGUUGGAGGCAGUUUACCAUUCUAACCUGAUUUUUCUCCCUCCAGCAAAAGGAAUAGUUGGGAUAAAAUUCUUGUCUUGAUGUGUGUCACUCUUAGGCCCCAAAGAUGAUAACAUUAUAGCAUGACCUAAUUUAAAUUUUAAAAGUAUUUUAUAAAUGAGUGAUCAGUUUAGCUGUAAACUGCAGUUAUGAUAAGAAAAAGUGACUAGGUAAAAAUGGUCCCAUCUUGUUAAAAACAUCUUUCCUCUGUGUGUAUUCAGGCUCCUUUCUCCUGACAAAAAUAAGUUUGGCUUAUUUUUUAGUCCUGUUAACACUGCAGCGUUAGUAUUAAAUGGGAGAUGGAGGUGAGAUGCAUUCUGUUCUGGCUCAUGCAACACCAAAGAAAGAUUAUGUAAUUCGUAUUAGAAGGUCAAAUUCUCUCCCAAUCAAGUUUCCAUUAAAAUCAGUGGUAAGGCUCCCAUUGCCUUCAGUGGGGGUUGGAUUGUAAUCAAUGAAUAGAUUGUAAGGGCCAACUUACUUUGACCUACAUAAUCUUUAUUACUGGUAGUAGUGCACAAACCAGAAAACACAGCCUGACUCUCCCAUUCCAAUUUGAGUUUCAAGGCUGGUGGUUAAAAAAAACCUAUAUCUUUACUUCUAAAUUGAGCACAAUUGAUCUGGAAGCCACUGAGAUGUAAUAAACAUGAAACCCCGUGAUGCUGCUUUUAUAGAGUCACUUUUCAAAGUUAGAACUACACUUUAAAAGAACAAAGGGUUAAUACUAUGAGGAAUCCACUGCAUUCUCACUACCUGCAUAAACCUUUCUUUAUCUGGGAGUAAAAUAUCAGUACACUUCUCAAUUUAAAGUUUAUGAAUUUCUUUUCUUCCUUAAUAACUCUUUGAGGUGUCAGCACUGAAAAGAUGAAUCAUUUUUUUAGUAGGAGGCCUGACACACGAUGAAAUCACUAUCUGACACUUCAAUGACUUCUAAUGUUGUUUUGUGUAACACAUCACUGUUGGGGAUGCUGUGGGAUUUUGAAAGUUCAGCAACGCACGGAUAAUGUGAUGUUGCAACUCUGUGAGUAGUAGUUCUUUUCUUUCCUCCAAACUGAUGAAAUGCUUUAUCAUCACAGAGUGUGAGAACUUGCCUUUUUGGUAUGACUAGCCUGUGGCUAUUAUUAAUCAUGAUUCAAUUAAAAAAAAAAACUUCUGAAAACUUAACACAUUUGAAACUGGCAGAGGGAGGCUGUCUUUAUAAUUAUUCUUGAGAAUCAGUGUAAAAGCAGAAAUGAAUUAAU
Terrapene triunguis (Three-toed box turtle) is the source of this 2253-nucleotide long non-coding RNA. RefSeq lists it as uncharacterized. Lineage: Eukaryota; Metazoa; Chordata; Testudines; Emydidae. The transcript has 4 exons. The record is from RefSeq and is a predicted model, not a curated record.